Molecule: ribosomal RNA, 305 nt
Filed under: uncultured bacterium
Lineage: Bacteria
Description: bacterial SSU rRNA
Rfam family: Bacterial small subunit ribosomal RNA
Source: RNAcentral
GUCCUACGGGGCGCAGCAGUGGGGAAUAUUGCACAAUGGGGGAAACCCUGAUGCAGCGACGCCGCGUGGGUGAAGAAGUACUUCGGUACGUAAAGCCCUAUCAGCAGGGAAGAAAAUGACGGUACCUGAUUAAGAAGCCCCGGCUAACUACGUGCCAGCAGCCGCGGUAAUACGUAGGUGGCAAGCGUUGUCCGGAUUUACUGGGUGUAAAGGGCGUGUAGCCGGGCUGACAAGUCAGAUGUGAAAUCCGGGGGCUCAACCCCCGAACUGCAUUUGAAACUGUUGGUCUUGAGUAUCGGAGAGGC